RNAcentral lists this ribosomal RNA (952 nucleotides) under uncultured crenarchaeote pBRKC135. Its description in RNAcentral is "SSU rRNA". It matches the Rfam family "Archaeal small subunit ribosomal RNA", at positions 483 to 1429 of the family's 1478-position model. The record is from RNAcentral. Lineage: Archaea; Thermoproteati; Thermoproteota.
UGCCAGUGGUGUGGAUNUUUAUUGGGCCUAAAGCAUCCGUAGACUGGCUGGGCAAGUCCCCUGUUAAAUCCACCGAUUCAAUCGUUGGUGUGCGGGGGAAAUUGCUCGGNUNCGGGAACGGAUACGCCGACCGCAUUUCAGGUGUUCGGGUUAAAUCCUCCAAUCCCGGGAAGACCACCAGUGGCCAACGCUCUCNGCUAAAACUCGCUCUACAGAUAAGGAUCAAACCCGGGGACCGAACCCUGAUUANAUACCCGGGUAGUCCCACCUGUAAACCAUGCCAGCUAGGUGUUUGGGCAGCCACCUUCCGCUCUACUGCCGCAAGGAAGCUGGUUAAGCCUGCCGCCUGGGGAGUACGAUCGCAAGAUUGAAACUUAAAGGAAUUGGCGGGGGAGCACCACAAGGGGUGAAGCUUGCGGUUUAAUUGGAGUCAACGCCGGAAAUCUCACCGGGAGCGACAGCAGUUUGAAGGCCAGAUUAAAGGUCUUGCUAGACGAGCUGAGAGGAGGUGCAUGGCCGUCGCCAGUUCGUGCCGUGAGGUGUCCUGUUAAGUCAGGCAACGAUCGAGACCCGCGUCCUCUGUUGCUACUAGCUUUGUGCUGGGCACACUGAAGAGACCGCCGCUGAUAAAGCGGAAGAAGGAGCGGGCCACGGCAGGUCAGUAUGCCCCGAAUCUCCCGGGCCACACGCGAGCUGCAAUGGCAGGUUACAAUGGGUUCUAACCUCGAAAGGGGAAGGCAAUCCCGAAAAGCCCUGCCCGUAGUUGGGAUUCGAGGGUUGAAACUCACCCUCGGUGAACAUGGAAUCCCUAGUAAUCGCGUGUUCCACUUAGCCGCGCGGUGAAUACGUCCUUGCUCUUGGCACACACCGGCCGUCGUUCCACCCGAGCGACUCUUGGGUGAGGCGUGGUCUUUCCUUGGCUGCGUCGAAUCUGAGUUUCGUGAGGGGGGAA